This 497-nucleotide ribosomal RNA is filed under the name uncultured bacterium. RNAcentral's name for it is "partial 16S ribosomal RNA". It matches the Rfam family "Bacterial small subunit ribosomal RNA", at positions 28 to 507 of the family's 1533-position model. The record is from RNAcentral.
GAUGAACGCUGGCGGCGUGCCUAAUACAUGCAAGUCGAGCGAACAGACGAGGAGCUUGCUCCUCUGACGUUAGCGGCGGACGGGUGAGUAACACGUGGAUAACCUACCUAUAAGACUGGGAUAACUUCGGGAAACCGGAGCUAAUACCGGAUAAUAUAUUGAACCGCAUGGUUCAAUAGUGAAAGACGGUUUUGCUGUCACUUAUAGAUGGAUCCGCGCCGCAUUAGCUAGUUGGUAAGGUAACGGCUUACCAAGGCAACGAUGCAUAGCCGACCUGAGAGGGUGAUCGGCCACACUGGAACUGAGACACGAUCCAGACUCCUACGGGAGGCAGCAGUAGGGAAUCUUCCGCAAUGGGCGAAAGCUUGACGGAGCAACGCCGCGUGAGUGAUGAAGGUCUUCGGAUCGUAAAACUCUGUUAUUAGGGAAGAACAAAUGUGUAAGUAACUAUGCACGUCUUGACGGUACCUAAUCAGAAAGCCACGGCUAACUACGUG